GAAACCAGCGGGAGCUUCGGCAGGGCCUGCAGAGAGGACAAGCGAAGUUAGAGCCUAGUGUACUUGCCGCUGGGAGCUGGGCUAGGCCCCCAACCUUUGCCCUGAAGAUGCUGGCAGAGCAGGAUGUUGUAACGGGAAAUGCCAGAAAUACUGCAAGCAAAACUGAAAACAACCCAUCCAUGUAGGAAAGAAUAACACGGACUACACGUUAUUCAAGGACACCGAAAAGCCAACACCAUGGUAGCAUUAAUGAAAGUUUACCAAGAGGAAGAUGAAGCCUACCAGGAAUUAGUUACCGUGGCAACCACGUUCUUCCAGUACUUACUGCAGCCAUUUAGGGCUAUGCGAGAAGUUGCAACUUUAUAAGUCCUUGGAUGAGGAUGACCUAGGUCCUAGAAGGGUAGUUGCCCUGGAGAAAGAAGCUGAAGAAUGGACCAGACGGGCUGGAGAAGCUGUCGUCUCUAUUCAAGAUAUCACAGUGAAUUAUUUUAAGGAGACAGUAAAAGCAUUAGCAGGAAUGCAGAAAGAAAUGGAACAGGAUGUGAAGAGAUUUGGCCAGGCUGCCUGGGCCACAGCAAUUCCCAGGUUGGAAAAACUUAAGCUAAUGCUAGCUCAAGAGACUCUGCAACUCAUGAGAGCGAAAGAGUUAUGUUUAAAUCACAAAAGAGCUGAAAUUCAGGGAAAGGUAAGACAAAGAUAAACAUAACUUUGUUUUAAAAAUACACUUGUAUUUAUUUUUUAUUUUAUUUUAUUUUUUUUGAGACAGAGUCUCGCUCUUUUGCCUAGGCCGGACUGCAGUGGCACGAUCUCGGCUCAUUGCAAGCUCCGCCUCCUGGGUUCAUGCCAUUCUCCUGCCUCAGCCUCCCAAGUAGCUGGGGCUACAGGUGCCCGCCACCGCGCCCAGCUAAUUUUUUGUAUUUUUAGUAGAGACGGGGUUUCACCGUGUUAGCCAGGAUGGUCUCGAUCUCCUGACCUCGUGAUCCGCCCACCUUGGCCUCCGAAAGUGCUGGGAUUACAGGCGUGAGCCACCGUGCCCCGCGCCACUUUUAUUUUUUAAAAAUUUUGUAUAAAUAAAGGAUACAAGUGCAGUUUUGUUCCAUGGAUAUAUUGUGUAGUGGUGAAGUUUGGGCUUUUAGCGUAAUCAUCACCUACAUAAUGUAAUUGUACCCAUUAAAUAUUUCUCAUCCCCCCUCCCACCCUCUUACUCUUCUGAGUCUCCAGUGUCUGUUAUUCCACACUGUCUGUGUAUACACUACUUAGCUCCCACUUAUAAGUGAGACCAUGUGGUAAAGCACACUUGUAUUUUUAGAUAGCACUUUUCUUUCCAGGCAUUGUUAAAGAGCUGCUUUUCUUCACUUAUUCCAACACCAUCUCCUAUGGAAGGUUAGACAUAAAGUUUUCCUUUGGUUAAGAUGUUUCAAAAUACCACACUGUAGGAUUCACUUUAUAGUAACACCAAGCCCAGUAUUGAAGUGGGUACUGUACUUGAAAAUCAAUCCAGCAAUGUUUUCAGUACAGCUUUAAAAUAAUCAAAGAGAUACUUCCCUGAAGGAUCUUAGACACUUAAGUUUUUUCCUAUAAUCUUAUGACUUUAAAGCAGAAAACACUGUAAACACCUGUCUUAGUUGGCUAAGGCUGCUGUAACAAUAUUAAAUGUCACAGAUUGGGUGGCUUCAACAAUGGACAUGUAUUUCUCACAGUUCUGGAGGCUGGGAAGUCCAAGAUCAAGGUGCCUGCAGAUUCACUGUCUGGUGCGGAUCCUCUUCCUGUCUAGUAGACAGCUGCCUUCUUAACUGAGUGCUCACAUAGCCUUUCUUCUGUGUGUAUGUUUGGAGAGAAAGAAAGUGAUCCCUGUCUUUCUCUUCUAAUAAGGGCACUAAUCCCAUGAUGGGGGUGCUAUCCUUUUGACAUAAUCUGAACCUAAUUACUUCCAAAGGACCCACCUCCAAAUAACAUCACAUUGGGAGUUACAGUGUCAACAUAUGAAUUUUGGGGGGACACCGAUAUGCAAUACAUAAUAAUACCUCAUUGCCAUUUAUGUUUCUCAAAACCUAAAUGUUUUUCUCUGUUUCAAGGAUGGGAUAAAGUAUUAGCAUCACUAGAUGAAAUGAAAAAGUGUUUCUUUCCUAUUUGCUCUUUUAUAUUUAGUACGGAACAAGGAAUAGAAAAUAGCUAGAAUGCUUCUAAAGUUUGUUUUUAAUAUACUAUUUGUUUUAACUUAUUUUUCUUUUUUCUAUGAAAAUAAGAUGGAAGAUCUUCCAGAACAAGAAAAAAAUAUAAAUGUUGUAGAUGAAUUAGCAAUACAAUUUUAUGAAAUUCAGUUAGAACUAUAUGAAGUUAAAUUUGAGAUAUUAAAAAACAAAGAAAUACUGCUUACUACACAGUUGGACUCUCUUGAAAGACUUAUAAAAGGUAAAGUUUUUAUUUAAGUAUAUAGAUUACAAUGUUUAUAAAUUUAAGGAAAUACAGACCAUAUUAUCAAUUACUUUUUGUAAACUGUAACAUCUGAAAAUUUCCUAAAGUUUUCCUUCAGUGGUUUAUUAUUCAAAUAAUAUAUUCAUUGUUAGCACAUAGCAAAACAAAGAAAGAAAAAUGAUUAUUACCCCAAUCCCAUCAUCUAGAGAUGCUCAAUGGUUGGCUGGGCACAGUGGCUCAGGCCUAUAAUCCCAGCACUUUGGGAGGCUGAGGCGGGCAGAUCACUUGAGGUCAGGAGUUCCAGACCAGUCUGACCAACAUGGUGAAACCCCGUCUCUACUAAAAAUACAAAAAUACUAAACCCUGUUUCUACUAAAAAUACAAAGUCCAAUGUGGUGGCACGUGCCUGUAAUCCCAGCUACUUGGGAGGCUGAGGCAGGAGAAUGGCUUGAACCCAUGAGGUGGAAGUUUCAGUGAGCCAAGAUCGUGCCACUGCACUCCAGCCUAGAAGACAGAGCGAGACUCCAUC
Molecule: long non-coding RNA, 2944 nt
Organism: Homo sapiens (human)
Lineage: Eukaryota; Metazoa; Chordata; Mammalia; Primates; Hominidae
Source: Ensembl